GGUGGAUUCGUCUAGCGGCUAGGACACAUGCCUCUCACGCAUGCAACACGGGUUCGAUUCCCGUAUCCACUA
Molecule: transfer RNA, 72 nt
Filed under: Bacteroides sp.
Lineage: Bacteria; Pseudomonadati; Bacteroidota; Bacteroidia; Bacteroidales; Bacteroidaceae
Description: tRNA-Glu
Rfam family: tRNA
About the family: Transfer RNA (tRNA) molecules are approximately 80 nucleotides in length. Their secondary structure includes four short double-helical elements and three loops (D, anti-codon, and T loops).
Source: RNAcentral